Molecule: long non-coding RNA, 4702 nt
Organism: Capsicum annuum
Lineage: Eukaryota; Viridiplantae; Streptophyta; Magnoliopsida; Solanales; Solanaceae
Exons: 3
Source: RefSeq, a predicted model, not a curated record
AAACAUGUGCGGCCAACUUUAGGUGCAACAAUUAGGAUUUUUGAAAAAUGUAUCCUUCUGUGGUUAAUCAGUGAAUUGCACAUCGAACUGUGUGCUUGCCGUUUGGUAUUUCUCCAUUGAUUCCAUAGUCCGAAUCAUCCCCUUUUUGAACUAAUCAAAAUAGGGAAUCCAUUUAACCUUAAUGAUUGAAAGGGUCAAAAAAGCUGAAGAAAAGCUUGCAUUGGUGAAUGUGUUUUUCUAUCUGUUACUAUGUCCUUCUCUAGGUGCAAGGAGUUCUUUAGAAGUGAUAGGCCAUAACAGAAGUAACAUCAAUAUUGCCAGAGGCAAGGCUGAAAGAAAUUAUGACUGAAUAAAGGCAGGAUAAGUUCUUGAUGGUAGCUGAAGACGGGUGUUGGAAUUUGUUGAAUAUUCAUGUGCUAGCUUCAUAGCAAGACAGUGCAGCAAUGGUAGGGUGCUGCUAGAUGCUGUAUGCCAGUAUAGGUAUUCUUGAAUCUUGAGUGUCUUUAUUUUCUGAUCAAGGAGAUUGACCUGCGAGAGAAUAUGCACUUAUUAGGACUUGACACGGAUGCAACCAUAGUAGGUUUCUUCUGCAUUCGUUAAGCAAUUACUGUGCGCUUUAGGUUGGAUAAUAAAAUGGUCAACAACUCAUUGAUUGAUAUAAAAUUACCUUGCUUCUUUCCAGACUGAAAACAUGUUUCUUAAUUUUUUAUAGUCAUAUCCAGGGCUUUGUUGAAGAUCAGUUUGGCUUAGGGCUUAUUGCAAGGGCAGUUGAAGAAGGUACUUCUGUCAUAAAACCAUCAGGUAUUAUGAUUUCCAACAUGGGAGGCCGUCCAGGGCAAGCUGUUUACAAAUAAUUAUUCGAGCGUCGUGGUGUUCGCGUUAACAAGCUUUAGCAAACUGAAAUUCUUCAGGUGGAUGCAUUCUAUUUAAUUGAGAUAACAGUUACGACAAACUAUGCUUCUAAAUAGUAGGUUAAUGCAGGCAGCUGACAUGGAUAUAUCAUCUUUAGUUGAAAUUGAAAAAAACAUCAUACAUCAGUUUGAAUUUUUCAUGGUACUUGUCGGAGAUCAGCCUAUCUGUGCUCGAACAGCAUAGGCCUAUGGUAAAGUUGGUGGUCGUAUCUCUCAUGCUUUAUUUGUGUACAACUGUCAACUUCGUCGGCCAUGUCAGGUAAUUCUUAAAGAGCGUACAUAUGUUCAAAUCUGAUAAUUGUUUGAGGAUAUAUUAAAAAGAACUACAAAGGCCCGUAAAACUGAUUCAGCUGAACUGACAAGUCAAAAAGAUAUUUGAGUUCAUAAAAAAUGGAUUCCACGAUAUCAGUAGCUCUCUGGAUUUAUCAUUUGAAGAUGAUGCUGUAGCAGAUGAGAGGAUCAACAUGCUUAAGGAGAAUUUUGUUUUCCCAUAUGAAUCACCAUCUAGAAGUAGACGGUUCCGCAAUCUGAUUGCUGGGUUUAUGAAAAUGUACCACCAUUUUCCUCUUAUGGCUGACGUGAGAUUGUUAACUUUGUCAUUUUUCUUUUUAUUGCAAGAUUCUUUUGCUGAAAUAUUGGAGAUUAAGAAGGGUUGCUGCUAGAGAUGGCCUUGUAGAAUGCCAUGUGUGGAUAUGAAGUUUGUUUUGUGAAUGUGAGCAUAUAGUUUUCAUUUAAAGGUUAUAGACUUGUGUCUGUGUAAAUCCAUAGUUGUCAUAUUCCUCUGUGAAGUAAUCUAGAAAAGCAACUUCCUUUAGUUUUCUGCUCAGUGUUUUCAGAAACACGUGUCAGCCUUAUAAAGUUGCAAUGGUUGGUGUAAAAUGCAAGUUAGGAUGCACUGACGCUGUCGUUUUCAUGGUAAGACAUCAACGGGAACUGUAAGUUCUAUGGAAAAUGUAAUGAAACUAAUAAUUUGUUUAGUAGAAUGUAUUUGGGAUGUCAUUUUUGUCUUGAGAGACUCAGGUUUAGAUUGUGGAUAUCUCAUGGUUGUUUUCUUCAUAGACGUUACCUGUUUGUGGUCUAUGACAGUGAGAUACCACUGAUAUCUUAUUCUAAUUUGUAUACAAGUUUGUGGAAGGCACAAUACAGUAGGUUUAAGCUUAAACCUAUUGGUUUUAUUGCUUUCUUUAACAUUAUAAGAUCGCCCGUGCGUUGCACGGGCACGGGCCAUCUAGUACUAUAUAUAAGUGAAAGUUUGGUGGUACUAGGAAGGAUAUUCUUGGUAUUCAAUUAUAAUCCAUGGGAAUUUCUGUUAAUAUAUAUUUUAAAAUAGCCUCAAUUGUCAUCUCUAUACAUGUACACUGAUUGGUGACCCACGUAGGCUACACUUACCACCUUUAUAACAUAGGUGUAUCUUUUUAGCUGCUUUUUCAUUUGUUUAUUCUUUGUUUCUCCCUCCAUGGCGUUUCUUAUCUCUGCUCAUUACUCAGAUAUGUAACAAUAAGAUGAAAGCUAAAAGUUACCAGAGAAAUCAGAAAAGGUUAAGCAAAAGCUACAUCUGAUAUGUAACAAUAAGAUGAAAGCUAAAAGUUACCAGAGAAAUCAGAAAAGGUUAAGCAAAAGCUACAUCUGGUGUACGAAAUACCUAAAGAAACAUGUCAAAGUGUUAUCUGUUGCUCGCUCAUUCACCUGUCGUCCCUCAAUGGCCUUAACCAACAAGCUCUCGUCUGUAAUUUGAUUUCUUCAGUGUUCUUGCACUAACAACUGUUGCUUUUUAAUAUUUUCUACUACUGCUGCUUAUUAUUUGGAAUGCUCAAAAUAUUCUCAUUUCUCCUUUGAAUUUUCUUAUUCUGAAAAACUUACAAAAGGUUAACAAGCAAAUCACUAUAAAGAUAAAAGUGAUCUCCAUACACUCUAAAACUGUCCCUAAAAAAUUUUUGUUACGUAUGUGUAACCUGUUGUCCAUUCCUAAUAUAUUUCUUCCAAUAUAAAUAAGACAGAAUGUUACACCAAGUAUGUUGUUGUAUUAAGAGGAAGGAAGGGCAUGGGGGUUGCAAAUGCAGAUUUCUUAUCAAUUUUGGAAUGUAUAAUACAACUACAAGUCUACAAUCACGUCUGACUGAAGAGAAAGGUUUAACCAGACAGAUUAUCUGUAGCUGCUGAAUAUUGGUCCUAGAGUAUCAUGAAAGUGUCUUAUGUUUGAUAAUGAAGUCGGGCCAAAAGAAAAAUUUACUGUCUGGCUGCACCUCCAAAACAGGUCACUCACAGCAGACAAAUUGCUAAAGUGGGGAGUGAUGGUUAAUCUUAUGUGUAACUUAUGCUAAAGACAACCAGAUACAAGAGGUCACUUGUUCAUGAGUUUCCCUGAAUCAAAGAACUAUGGAAAAGAAUCUUAUAGUGAACAGAGGGGCAACCUAUUAACUACACAACUUGGGACCAUUACAUGUAAUGGAGUUUCAACAAUGCUAAAGGACACUCACUAGCUGGAGUAUUAAGUUGGUCUAUAUAAAAGUAGUCUAUGUUGUAUGGAUUGAACCAAAUUAACAUGAGGCUGCAAAGAUUUGUAGAGAUUGGGUGGGUGUGGCCAGACACAUAGUUUGUAUAUGCAACUUCAGAGAAUCCACCAAGAUCAAAGGGCUUCUUCAAGAUAUGCAAUUCUAGAUUCUUAGGCACUGCUAAUCUACUCUUUCUUUCUUUUAUGUUUAUUAGCAUGAGUAGGAGGCAACCAAGUCAAAUAUGAUAUCCCAACAAUUUGUGGUCAGAUGUUGGUGCUGUGUAAAGACUAUCAAAUUUGGUGAUCAAUAAAAGUUUGAUUUACCAAAAUAAGAAGUGUUGAAAUCCCUAUGUGAGAAUGAGAUACUUAUGAAUAUUGACUGGGAAGACGUAGUAUUGAGUAUGUGAGAAUGUGCUUUUAGAUCUUUUCUACGAUAAUGAAAUUUUCUUGGUGAAUGUACAUUAAAUAGACCUCAAUUGGAAUACAAAUCUUGGAAGCUCAAUUUAAGCAAACUAUUUCAGGGCUUAAAAUAAUUAUAAAUUGAUGAAAUCAUGACUACUGGAAUUAAGAAGAUAUUGAAGUUCCCAUCACCCGAAGCUUUCUUGUUUCUUUUGUUGAUCCUCAGGGACGGUGUCAAGGGUGGCGGUUGAGGUUGGAAGGAGAAAGAGGAUAAUGAGAUUAACUUUAGUUUUUGUCGUUUUUUUAAUCAUUUUGUUUAUGAUAUUGGAAGCUAACUUAUUCACUUUUACUUUACACGUUGAUUGCCUCAUUGGAAGAGAUUAUCUAUUAAGCGCAACAUUAUCUGAUAAGAACAUUGUACUAUUAUAGAAUCUAUACUCUUGUUGCUCAUCACGGCUUGUUUUCUACUUAUGCCUUGAAAACUUUAGUUCUGUACAAUUUUUACUUUUUCCAUUAGAUGCACCCUUAACAGUGAGUUCUCUUGACAUAGUUGAUGAUAUUUCAGAUUUCUAUUUGAUAUUGGUGAAGCCUAAUGACUAAUAUGGUGAAAUUCUAGGCUCUAUAUAAAUUUUUAGACUACUUCAGCAAGUUCAAUUGGGAAAAUUACUGUGUAGUCUAAUUGGGCCUGUUCGUAUAUCCGCUUUACCAGAAUCUGCUGGUAAGCAACAUGUUCAUUUUUGUUUAUGCUCUCAAGUAGUAUUAAAGAUGGGAAGCAUUUCAAGUAUCCUUUCUUGACUGGAGUAUCAAGUUUGGUAGCAUUUCAUGGUUUCUAUACAUGUGUAAUUCCCAAUGAAUUAUCUGUAUAUGUUAUUGUAAAAGGAUGACUUGAAACUUUUGAGUA